CAAGCCGAGCGGUAGAGAUCUUUCGGGAUCUUGAGAGCGGCGUACGGGUGCGGAACACGUGUGCAACCUGCCUUUAUCAGGGGGAUAGCCUUUCGAAAGGAAGAUUAAUACCCCAUAAUAUAUUGAGUGGCAUCACUUAAUAUUGAAAACUCCGGUGGAUAGAGAUGGGCACGCGCAAGAUUAGAUAGUUGGUGAGGUAACGGCUCACCAAGUCUGCGAUCUUUAGGGGGCCUGAGAGGGUGAUCCCCCACACUGGUACUGAGACACGGACCAGACUCCUACGGGAGGCAGCAGUGAGGAAUAUUGGACAAUGGGUGCGAGCCUGAUCCAGCCAUCCCGCGUGAAGGACGACGGCCCUAUGGGUUGUAAACUUCUUUUGUAUAGGGAUAAACCUACUCUCGUGAGAGUAGCUGAAGGUACUAUACGAAUAAGCACCGGCUAACUCCGUGCCAGCAGCCGCGGUAAUACGGAGGGUGCAAGCGUUAUCCGGAUUUAUUGGGUUUAAAGGGUCCGUAGGCGGAUCUGUAAGUCAGUGGUGAAAUCUCACAGCUUAACUGUGAAACUGCCAUUGAUACUGCAGGUCUUGAGUGUUGUUGAAGUAGCUGGAAUAAGUAGUGUAGCGGUGAAAUGCAUAGAUAUUACUUAGAACACCAAUUGCGAAGGCAGGUUACUAAGCAACAACUGACGCUGAUGGACGAAAGCGUGGGGAGCGAACAGGAUUAGAUACCCUGGUAGUCCACGCCGUAAACGAUGCUAACUCGUUUUUGGGUUUUCGGAUUCAGAGACUAAGCGAAAGUGAUAAGUUAGCCACCUGGGGGAGUACGAACGCAAGUUUGAAACUCAAAGGAAUUGACGGGGGCCCGCACAAGCGGUGGAUUAUGUGGUUUAAUUCGAUGAUACGCGAGGAAACCUUACCAAGGGCUUAAAUGGGGAAAUGACAGGGCUUUAAAAAUAGGCUUUUCUUUCGGA
RNAcentral lists this ribosomal RNA (969 nucleotides) under Chryseobacterium gleum. Its description in RNAcentral is "bacterial SSU rRNA". It matches the Rfam family "Bacterial small subunit ribosomal RNA", at positions 58 to 1025 of the family's 1533-position model. The record is from RNAcentral. Lineage: Bacteria; Pseudomonadati; Bacteroidota; Flavobacteriia; Flavobacteriales; Weeksellaceae.